CCAGUCCCACAGCAUUGAAUGAUGUCAUGGGAUCUGCAGCUCAGUGAGAUGAAAGGGAUAAAGCGGAACCCGCUGGCACUGGGGAAAGCUUCCAACACACAAUUCACAGCAUAGCUUGGGAACUGAAAAAGCUACAGAUCCAGCCACUCAGCUCUAAACAGAAUGCACAUCAUUCUUACAUGCUAUCACAAAAAAGAGGGAGGGCAGGGAAGAACUAAUGUGAUCCAUUUUUAAGCAAAAGAAUUUGAGGACUGGAAUCAGAAUUUAAGAGGACAACUACCUGCUGAAAAGAGAGCUCUUUUCCUCUUCAAAGCACUGCCUUUGAUGUAUGGCAACUGAUCACUGAUCAGAUUACAGGCAUUUGGUCUCAGUGCUCCUCUGCCUUUGAUCUGCAUGGUUAAUUUUAUUUUCCUGGAUUUGGAGUUUCGUCUGGGCUUGUGCUGACAUACUUUUUUUUAAAAAGGAGGUAAGUUAAAAGCAGUUAAUACAGAAGCUCUGGCAGUGUGGAUUAAGUUGCAGAAAGGCUGACUAUUGGAAAAACUUCAGCAUAUAGCAGUUCUUCAUAAGGGAGAGAGGUUUAACUCUAAGAAAUGGGCAGUAAAGUAUUACAAAGACAAGAUAAAAUAAUGAAGAUGGUAAUACUCCUAUUAGUGUAUUUGUCAAGAAAAGGAAUUUGUGAGACGGGGGAUUGUAGAGAGCAAGAGUUCAGGGACUAUGCUGGAAACUGUAUCCUCUGCAAACAGUGUGGACCGGGAAUGGAGCUGUCAAAGGUAUGUAUAGGAUAUUCUGCUCUGUGGCACUUUU
Molecule: non-coding RNA, 804 nt
Organism: Pelodiscus sinensis (Chinese soft-shelled turtle)
Lineage: Eukaryota; Metazoa; Chordata; Testudines; Trionychidae
Source: RefSeq, a predicted model, not a curated record